This 468-nucleotide ribosomal RNA is filed under the name uncultured bacterium. Its description in RNAcentral is "partial 16S ribosomal RNA". It matches the Rfam family "Bacterial small subunit ribosomal RNA", at positions 28 to 523 of the family's 1533-position model. The record is from RNAcentral.
GAUGAACGCUGGCGGCGUGCCUAACACAUGCAAGUCGAGCGAUUCUCUUCGGAGAAGAGCGGCGGACGGGUGAGUAACGCGUGGGUAACCUGCCCUGUACACACGGAUAACAUACCGAACGGUAUGCUAAUGCGAGAUAAUAUGCUUUUAUCGCAUGGUAGAAGUAUCAAAGCUUUUGCGGUACAGGAUGGACCCGCGUCUGAUUAGCUAGUUGGUAAGGUAACGGCUUACCAAGGCGACGAUCAGUAGCCGACCUGAGAGGGUGAUAGGCCACAUUGGAACUGAGACACGGUCCAAACGCCUACGGGAGGCAGCAGUGGGGAAUAUUGCACGAUGGGCGAAAGCCUGAUGCAGCAACGCCGCGUGAGCGAUGAAGGCCUUCGAGUCGUAAAGCUCUGUCCUCAAGGAAGAUAAUGACGGUACUUGAGGAGGAAGCCCCGGCUAACUACGUGCCAGCCGCCGCCGUAA